CUCUUCUCCCAUUCCAUUGGAUGCCUUUUAGUUUUGUUGAUUAUUUACUUUGCUAUGCAGGAGCUUUUUAUCUUGAUGAAGUUCCAAUAGUUUAUGUUUGUUUAACUGGACACCUUUGUACAAGAGAAAAGAAGGAAACCUGAGUGCUAGUUAUGACCCUUUUUAACUAGCUGUGUGAACUUAACCUUUAUUUUCCUCAGUAUUUCUUACCUGUAAGAUUCUUUUAUUUAAUUUUAAGUUAUCUAUUGUUUCCAGUAUUUCAUUGUACAAAGAUAGUCAUUAUAUUUGCUACUCAAUCCACCCAGCAUAUGGUAGGCACUUAGAUAUAUGUCAAACACAUGAAUGAAUGAAUGAAUGAAUGCUAUCAAUGACAUAGAAGGCAUUUUUCCUUUGGGUACAUAAUUUAAUUAUGGGCAAACAGGUAUCUGAAGGGUGCGAUAUAGUCAUUGUAUAAUUAAGAUAGUGUCCUCAGAUCUAUGAUAACCCUCAUGGUUUCCUCCCUAACAGGAAGGAUGGAAUUGCUAUGACUGAAAAUGAAGUGCUGUUGGCUUUAUUAUAAUUCUAUUUUAAAAUUUUCUCUUUAGUUCAUAUGUAGAAGUAUAAAUUCUACAUAAAUACUAGUAUAAUUAGUAUUUCUUAUAAGGUAGGUCUAGAGGUGAUGAAUUUCCUCAGUCUUUCUUGACCUCUGGUCUCUUGUCUAAAAAAAUGAAGAAAUGAAUGAGUGAAUAAGCUAUUUUAAGAUCUGGGUUGCAGCCAGGAAUAUAUGGUUUCUGUUGAGAAGCAAAAACCACCAAACAGUAGUCACUGCUGCCUCUGAUUUCAAAACCUUCCAUCUCUGCCAGAGUGAAGCUGGUACAGCCCCUGCUGCUGUGGCUUCUGAAUGCCAACUACCAGUAGAGCAAGUUUCAGUGUCCUUUGGAGCUGCUUAAUGGUCUCCAUAUGUCUCCUUCUAUUAACCACUUCUUACUUUACUCCAGUAAAUCUCUAGCAGGUCUUUCAUUAGAUCCUCCAUAACUCAAAAAACCUAACUAAGACUUUCUUUUCAGGAAGGAAGACUCAAGCCUAGGAUGUAACAUUUUCUGAGCUGGGUUUAAACCAGAGGCAUGUCUGCUCAUUCAUGGUUUCUGAUCUCUGAUGGAUAUGGAAGGGGCCCCGGCACCAAUGUAAUUUCCAGGGACACCUUAUUCUCAGGGGGCUAGCAGGGGCUUUCACAGGUUGAUCUACUUCUUCCCAUCAAUGCCACACAUACUGGGGAAGAGGAGGUGCCCCGAUACUUACCUGGGUUAGGGGUCUUGCCUUGUUGGAUGUGUCAUGAUUUACACCACCAUCUGCAUCUGGCUUGUUCCUCUGGAGCUCUGGCCUUUCAUCUCUUCUCCUCACUGGAUUUCUGGCUUGGCCUUCUACUGGAGUCUCACUACUAUUCUUCUGAUUCUGAUAGUGACCUCUUCAACAGAUGAAGAAGCCAUCAUUUAAGAGUUCAACUAACUUGCUCAAGGCCUCACAGGAAGUCGUGAUUGGAAUCCAGUUCUCUCUGAUCCUAAAACCCAUAUUUUUAACUACCUAGUCUAGUAACCAUUUCUAGUCUAGUAGUCAUUACCAGGAGGAUUUUAAAAAAAAUGUUUCUUUCUUCUUUAAUAAACAAGAUUGAGAUUUUCUUUAAGUUUUAGUCCUUUUUUGUUUACUUUCAUUCAUCUAGGGAGUAAAAUACCCAAAGAUGUCAUCCUACAUAAUUCUGUUUAAAUUUAAGAUUUUAUG
Molecule: long non-coding RNA, 1755 nt
Organism: Felis catus (domestic cat)
Lineage: Eukaryota; Metazoa; Chordata; Mammalia; Carnivora; Felidae
Exons: 5
Source: RefSeq, a predicted model, not a curated record